GUCGUCAGCUCGUGUCGUGAGAUGUUCGGUUAAGUCCCGGCAACGAGCGCAACCCGUACUGCCUGUUACCAGCGCGUAAUGGCGGGGACUCUGGCAGGACUGCCCGUGUUAAGCGGGAGGAAGGUGCGGAUGACGUCAAGUCAGUAUGGCCCUUACAUCCAGGGCUGCACACGUGCUACAAUGGGUGGUACAGUGGGACGCGAGACCGCGAGGUGGAGCUAAUCCCCAAAACCACCCCCAGUUCAGAUCGGAGUCUGCAACUCGACUCCGUGAAGCCGGAAUCGCUAGUAAAGGCGUAUCAGCUACGACGCCUUGAAUACGUUCCCGGGCCUU
Molecule: ribosomal RNA, 333 nt
Filed under: uncultured Victivallaceae bacterium
Lineage: Bacteria; Pseudomonadati; Lentisphaerota; Lentisphaeria; Victivallales; Victivallaceae
Description: bacterial SSU rRNA
Rfam family: Bacterial small subunit ribosomal RNA
Source: RNAcentral